This 516-nucleotide long non-coding RNA is filed under the name Nicotiana tabacum (common tobacco). RNAcentral's name for it is "long non-coding RNA (NTAB_LNC000407)". Lineage: Eukaryota; Viridiplantae; Streptophyta; Magnoliopsida; Solanales; Solanaceae. The record is from RNAcentral.
GGUGGGGUUACUGAUUCCAAAAUCUAGAGCUGAACUUAAAAGCAUUCCCGCAUUAUACUGGUGGGCGACCUAGAACUUAAAAUGUAUUCCCGCAUUAUACUGGUGGGCGACCUAGAACUUAAAAUGUAUUCCCGCAUUAUACUGGUGGGCGACCUAGAACUUAAAUGUAUUCCCGCAUUAUACUGGUGGGCGACCUAGAACUUAAAAUGUAUUCCCGCAUUAUACUGGUAGGCGACCUAGAACUAUUCCCGCAUUAUACUGGUGGGCGACCUAGAACUUAAAAUGUAUUCCCGCAUUAUACUGGUGGGCGACCUAGAACUUAAAUGUAUUCCCGCAUUAUACUGGUGGGCGACCUAGAACUUAAAUGUAUUCCCGCAUUAUACUGGUGGGCGACCUAGAACUUAAAUGUAUUCCCGCAUUAUACUGGUGGGCGACCUAGAACUUAAAUGUAUUUGAAAUUGUUUCCCCGUUCUUCCGAGAAAAUUUUUUACAAUCGGUAGAAAAUUUUCUGCCCCG